RNAcentral lists this ribosomal RNA (497 nucleotides) under uncultured bacterium. RNAcentral describes it as "partial 16S ribosomal RNA". It matches the Rfam family "Bacterial small subunit ribosomal RNA", at positions 28 to 507 of the family's 1533-position model. The record is from RNAcentral.
GAUGAACGCUGGCGGCGUGCCUAAUACAUGCAAGUCGAGCGAACGGACGCUAAGCUUGCUUUUCUGAUGUUAGCGGCGGACGGGUGAGUAACACGUGGAUAGCCUACCUAUACGACUUGGAUCACUUCGGGAAACCGGAGCUAAUACCGGAUACUAUUUUUAACCGCAUGGUUCAAAAGUGAAUUCCGUUCUGGCUGUCCCUUAUAGAUGGAUUCGCGGUGCUUUAGUGAGUUGGUAAGGUAACGGCUUACCAAGGCAACGAUGCAUAGCCGACCUGAGAGGGUGAACGGCCACACUGGAACUGAAACACGGUCCAGAGUCCUACGGGAGGCCGCAGUAGCGAAGCUUGCGCAAUGGGCGGAAGCCUGACGGAGCAACGCCGCGUGAGUGAUGAAGGGCUGCGGGUCGUAAAACUCUGUUAGUAGGGAAGAACAUAUGUGUAAGUAACGGAGCACAUCUUGACGGUACCUAAUCAGAAAGCCACGGCUAACUACGUG